This 32-nucleotide non-coding RNA is filed under the name Rattus norvegicus (Norway rat). Lineage: Eukaryota; Metazoa; Chordata; Mammalia; Rodentia; Muridae. The record is from RNAcentral.
UGAUCAGUCCUCUGAAGACUCUCUGGUACAGC